This 72-nucleotide transfer RNA is filed under the name Bos taurus (domestic cattle). It matches the Rfam family "tRNA". From Rfam's summary of the family: Transfer RNA (tRNA) molecules are approximately 80 nucleotides in length. Their secondary structure includes four short double-helical elements and three loops (D, anti-codon, and T loops). RNAcentral also lists the same sequence under 2 other names. The record is from Rfam by way of RNAcentral. Lineage: Eukaryota; Metazoa; Chordata; Mammalia; Artiodactyla; Bovidae.
UCCCUGGUGGCUCAGAUGGUAAAGCAUCUGCCUGCAAUGCAGGAGAUGAGGGUUUGAUCCCUGCGUUGGGAA